Columba livia (rock pigeon) is the source of this 3312-nucleotide long non-coding RNA. RefSeq lists it as uncharacterized. NCBI's taxonomy places the organism in Eukaryota, Metazoa, Chordata, Aves, Columbiformes, Columbidae. The transcript is spliced from 2 exons. The record is from RefSeq and is a predicted model, not a curated record.
CGGGACCGGCGGGAUAACGAGGUGAUAAAGGAGGUGGCGCGGAACGCGCGGAGCACUAGAAACGUGGCGGCGGUGGCUGCGGGCGCUCCUCAGCGCCGAGUGCCAGCCGAGCACCGCCCCCCCCCACCCCGAGAGCGGCAGGAACGGCGGCCGGAGUCAGUUAACGGGGCGGCUCCUGCGCAGAGAACAGUGAAGGCAGCCUGGCCAUGCCCCCUCCGGCUGAUGGACCCCCCCUCCGGCUGACUGCGCCCCCAACUCUGGCUGGCCGCGUGCCCACCCUACCCCCCAACUCCUGCUGACUGCGUGCCCACCCGGCUGACCGCGCGCGCGCCCUCCCACUGCACUCAUGCUGACUGUGCGCCCCCCCACCUCCUCCGGCUGGCCACAUCUCCACUGCACACCAUGGCGGGGAUGGGGCGGGGGGGGGAUCACAAAGGUCUAUGGGGCGGGUGUGGGGGUCAGGGGGGCUGUGGGGUUUAUGGGGUUGUUGUGGGAUGAAACACCCCUGAAGAGGCUGAACGCCCUGCAGAUGAGUGAACCACACGCUGACCCACAGUGCCCCAUAGCACCUCCACUCUGCCGUAUGGAUCCACAACACUGCCCCACAGCACCCUAUAGCUCCUGCUUGCUAUCCCACAGCACCCCAUGGCUUCUCCACUCUGCCCCAUAUGUCUACAGCAGUGCCACAGAGUACCUCAUAUGUCUUCCACUCUGCCCCAUGGAUGCAGAGUGCUGCCCUACAGCACCCUAUAGCUCCUGUACUCUGCCCCAUGGAUGCCCAGUACUGCCCCACAGCACCAUAUAACUCCUGUACUCUGCCCCAAACAUCCACAGGAGUGCCCCACAGCACCCUAUGGCUCCUGCACUCUGCUCUGUAGAUGCCCAGUACUGCCCAACAGCACCAUAUAGUUCCUGUACUCUACCCCAUACAUCCACAGUAGUACCCCCCCCCCCCAGAACCCCUUGGCUCCUGCACUCUGCUCUGUAGAUGCCCAGUACUGCCCAACAGCACCAUAUAGCUCCUGUACUCUACCCCAUACAUCCACAGUAGUACCCCCCAGAACCCCUUGGCUCCUGCACUCUGCUCUGUAGAUGCCCAGUACUGCCCCACAGCACCAUAGAGCUCCUGUACUCUGCCCCAUACAUCCACAGGAGUGACCCCCAGCACCCCAUAGUGACUCUACUCUUCCCCAUAGACCCACAGUGCUGCCGCACAGGACUCUGCUCUGCCCCUUAGACCCAGAGAGCUGCCCCACAGCAGCCUGUAGGUGCUGCGUUCUGCCCCAUUGGUGCAAAGUGCUGCCCCACAGCGCCCCACACCUCUGUCCACCUGACCACCCUUCCCUCCUGACUGCGCCUGCACUGCCCACUAUGGGUGGGUCACAAGGGUCUAUGGGGCGGGUGUGGGGGUCAGGGGGGGCUGUGGGGUCAAUGGGGUGGUUGUGGGGUGAAACACCCCUGAAGAGCCUGAACGCCCUGCAGGUGAGUGAACCACACGCUGACCCACAGUGCCCCAUAGCACCUCCACUCUGCCAUAUGGAUCCACAACACUACCCCACAGCACCCUAUAGCUCCUGCUUGCUAUCCCACAGCACCCCAUGGCUUCUCCACUCUGCCCCAUAUGUCUACAGCAGUGCCACAGAGUACCUCGUAUGUCUUCCACUCUGCCCCAUGGAUGCAGAGUGCUGCCCUACAGCACCCUAUAGCUCCUGUACUCUGCCCCAGAGAUCCACAGUGCUGUCCCACAGCACCCUGUAGCUCUGGCCUAUAGACCCACUGUACUACCCCACAAUGCCCCAUAGCUCCUACGCUCUGCCCCAUAGACCCACAACACUGCCUCACAACACCCCAUUGCUCCUGCACUCUGCCCCAUGGAUGCCCAGUACUGCCCCACAGCACCAUAUAACUCCUGUACUCUGCCCCAUACAUCCACAGGAGUGACCCACAGCACCCCAUAGUGACUCUACUCUUCCCCAUAGAGCCACAGUGCUGCCCCACAGGACUCUACUCUGCCCCUUAGACCCAGAGAGCUGCCCCACAGCAGCCUGUAGGUGCUGCGUUCUGCCCCAUUGGUGCAAAGUGCUGCCCCACAGCACCCCACACCUCUGUCCACCUGAACUACGCCUGCACUGCCCACUAUGAGUGGGUCACAAGGGUCUAUGGGGCGGGUGUGGGGGUCGGGGGGGCUGUGGGGUCAAUGGGGUGGUUGUGGGGUGAAACACCCCUGAAGAGGCUGAACCCCCUACAUGUGAGUGACCCACACAGUGACCCACAGCAGCUCAUAGCCCCUCUGCCCUAUAGAGUCACUGCACCCCAUAGCUGCUUUUACUCUGCCCCAUAAAUGGACAGCACUUCACCACAGCACCCUAUAUCUGCACUCUGCCCCAUAGACACACAGUGCUGUCCCACAGCACCCCAUAUCUUGUUCACUCUGCCCUAUAGACCCACAGUGUAACCCUACAGCACUCCAUGGUUCUUCUGCCCUAUAGAUCAACAGCACUGUCCCAGAAAACACCGUAGCUUCUUCCCACCAGCCCACACGCCAGCAGUUCUGCCCUAUAGCACACUGUAGCUCCUGCACCCUGCCCUAUAGACCCACAGCAGUGCCCCACACAUCUGGUCUGCCCUAUACAUCCACAGCACUGCUCUGCAGCACCAUAUACUUUCAGCACUCUGCCCCAUUGAUAUGUAGCACCCCACAGCUUCUGCAUUCCACCCAUAGAUUGACAUUCUUGGGUCCCCUCACCCCACCAGAUGUCCUGGGUUACAAUGCUGCAUGGGGCCCUGUGCACAACAAAAUGAGGACAGCGUGGCUGCUGGGCUCCACCCUGCUUGGAAUCCAAGAUGGCUGGGGGGGGGGGGAGGGCUGGCAGCCAUGCUGGCACUGCUGGAGGGGCUGUUGGUCUGUGCUGUGCUCAGGCGGCAGCUCCCAGCUGUAUUGGCUGCUUCCAUUGGCUGGCCCUGUGGCCCUGCACCCUGCCCAUGGGAAGAAGAUGGCUGCCCUGAUGGGCGUGGCCCUCUCGGCUGCUGUAUCCCUGCUGGUGGGCGGGGCCAUGACUGUCAUGGCUGCCAAGCCUGUGCUGGAAGGGUGGGGCUGAGGUGGGCGGGGCCUGCCUAGGGCGGCCAUUCUGGGGUGGGGCCCAAGGUGGGUGGUGGGGCCGCUGACUCUGUUUACCCCUGAUGGCUGUCUUGGAAAAGGGCAGCGCUGUGCCGCUGUCAUCCUGACAUUGCUCCCCCAGGGCCAUGUUGGGGGAUUUUUAACCUGGUUUUGGGGCCAAUUCUCACCCAAUAAAAUUAAAUAAUGUAAAAAAA